CUCCUGCAUUUAUAAACAAAUAUUAAGAGCAAUAAUAUUUGGAAAGAUUGUGACACUAUUGUAAGGGUUGAUUGGAUACAACCUCUCUGCCCUUUCGGGUAGGGGUAAGGCCCGUCUACAUAUUACCCUCCCCAGACCCCACUUUGUGGGACUAUACUGGAUAGUUGUUGUUGUUGUUGUUUGUGACACUAUUGUAAGGGGCAUAGUUGCAGAAAGAGAAGGAACAACUAGAUGACUUCCUAUAAAGUAAGAAAGGAACAUCCAGUUGUUAGCAGGAAAAGAAAAAAAUGGCUCGUCUCCAAAAAGAAAAAAGAUGCAUAAAGGCAGCUGGUAUUGCAGACUGGCUCAUUUUUACCAAUGUUUUAAAAGGCGUGGGCGACAGACGUAGCGUUUUAUCAAACACGGGGCGAGGCGAAAGCCACAUGAGUAUGUAAUUUUUAAAACUUUAUAAAUUAAUAAAAUAAAUAUAUAAAAAAUACAUUAAAAUUGUAAAAGAUUCAAGAAAGCUAUAAAAUUAGUAGAACAAUAUAUAUAUUUAUCAUAAAAACCUAACAUGUGCAUGAACAAAAGAAUUUUUUUUACUUGAAAAAGAAAGACGUAAAGAUAGAUUACACCUAUAAUUAACAUGACUAUGAUCGAACAUAGAUUUAUAAAAAUGAUAUUCUAGUUCCUAAUAAUUCAAAGAAUAAAAAUGAUGCUUAAUAAAAUAAAGAUACUGUUUAAAAACCGAAAACUAGAUAACAAAUUACAAAAAUACAAUAGCCAGAAUAGAGCCAUCAAAACAAUAUCUAAACUGGAGCGAUACUAAAAAAAGAUUUGAAUCCAAAAACUAACUUGAAAUGAAGAAAUUAACAACAACUACCCAGUAUAGUCCCACAAGGUGGGGUCUGGGGAGGGUAAUAUGUAGACAAGCCUUACCCCUACCCGAAAGGGUAGAGAGGCUGUUUCCAAUCGGACCCUCGGCUCAGGGAAGGAAGGGAAAACAAAAACAAAAAGAAAAACAAAAGAGCAUUAGCAAGGGCGGAUGCAGUGUAAAGAGUACGGGUUCCCGGGAACCCAGUAACUUUUGCGUCAACCCUAUAUUUAUAUUGAGAAAUUCACUAAAUAUUGAUAGGAACCCAUAUGUUAUUGGAUAUUAAUUUAAAAAUUAAUGUGGGAACCCAUAAGCCUCAAAUCCUGGAUCCGCCUCUUAGCAUUAGUAACUCCAGCAGAAAUCGCGUAAAUAGUUAUCUAAACAUAAGAACCAUAAAUAAAAUGGCAUGCAAUAAUAUCAAACAGUAACUACCAUAAUUAAAGAAUACAAAAAAAAAAUGAAGAAAAUGAAGUGUAAAAAAGGAAAAUGCAAGUGUGUAAGUAGAGUAAUAAUUUAAGAUUUUUAGUUCAAAAAUUUAUCGAAGAUUCCCCGAGAUUUUAGGUAUUGCAGACGCAUUAGGGUUGACGAGGUCAUUGGAGCUUUGCGUAAGAUGAGUAGGGGUAAAGCGACCGGGCCAGAUGAAAUCCCGGUUGAGUUUUGG
Molecule: long non-coding RNA, 1514 nt
Filed under: Nicotiana benthamiana
Lineage: Eukaryota; Viridiplantae; Streptophyta; Magnoliopsida; Solanales; Solanaceae
Description: long non-coding RNA (NBEN_LNC023354)
Source: RNAcentral